Molecule: unclassified non-coding RNA, 222 nt
Filed under: uncultured fungus
Lineage: Eukaryota; Fungi
Description: sequence contains ITS1
Source: RNAcentral
GUAUUGAUUGCGUGUGACCGCAAAAAAAGAAAAGAAAAACAUUCUACACUGUAUCGAGUUUGUGUGAAAACGUGAGCCCCCGAAAGGGGACCCACGCGGUGGUGCACAUAGGGGUGAGAUGGAUGUUUGAGAACGCUCGGGCGUGCACGACGAAAAAGUCAGCGACAGCCCUCGCGCCUCGGUUUUACGAUAAUGAUCCUUCCGCAGGUUCACCUACGGAAA